Long non-coding RNA from Myotis davidii, 113 nucleotides. RefSeq lists it as uncharacterized. The transcript is spliced from 3 exons. The record is from RefSeq and is a predicted model, not a curated record. Lineage: Eukaryota; Metazoa; Chordata; Mammalia; Chiroptera; Vespertilionidae.
GCAAAUGCAAUUAUAAUAUACUAGAGGCCCGGUGCACAAACUCGUGCAGCAGAGGGGUCCCCCUGCCUGGACUGUGGGAUCAGGCCCAAAUCAGUUCUCCAACAUCCCAUGAG